This 468-nucleotide ribosomal RNA is filed under the name uncultured bacterium. RNAcentral describes it as "partial 16S ribosomal RNA". It matches the Rfam family "Bacterial small subunit ribosomal RNA", at positions 28 to 507 of the family's 1533-position model. The record is from RNAcentral.
GAUGAACGCUGGCGGCGUGCUUAACACAUGCAAGUCGAACGGAAAGGCCCAAGCUUGCUUGGGUACUCGAGUGGCGAACGGGUGAGUAACACGUGGGUGAUCUGCCCUGCACUUCGGGAUAAGCCUGGGAAACUGGGUCUAAUACCGGAUAGGACGAUGGUUUGGAUGCCAUUGUGGAAAGUUUUUUCGGUGUGGGAUGAGCUCGCGGCCUAUCAGCUUGUUGGUGGGGUAAUGGCCUACCAAGGCGUCGACGGGUAGCCGGCCUGAGAGGGUGUACGGCCACAUUGGGACUGGGAUACGGCCCAGACUCCUACGGGAGGCAGCAGUGGGGAAUAUUGCACAAUGGGCGCAAGCCUGAUGCAGCGACGCCGCGUGGGGGAUGACGGCCUUCGGGUUGUAAACUCCUUUCGCUAGGGACGAAGCGUUUUUGUGACGGUACCUGGAGAAGAAGCACCGGCUAACUACGUG